RNAcentral lists this ribosomal RNA (469 nucleotides) under uncultured bacterium. RNAcentral describes it as "bacterial SSU rRNA". It matches the Rfam family "Bacterial small subunit ribosomal RNA", at positions 335 to 796 of the family's 1533-position model. The record is from RNAcentral.
ACUCCUACGGGAGGCAGCAGUGGGGAAUAUUGCACAAUGGGGAAACCCUGAUGCAGCCAUGCCGCGUGUGUGAAGAAGGCCUUCGGUUGUAAAGCACUUUCAGUAGGGAGGAAGGUAGUGUAGUUAACACCUGCAUUAUUUGACGUUACCUACAGAAGAAGCACCGGCUAACUCCGUGCCAGCAGCCGCGGUAAUACGGAGGGGUGCGAGCGUUAAUCGGAAUUACUGGGCGUAAAGCGCAUGCAGGCGGCCUGUUAAGUCAGAUGUGAAAGCCCGGGGGCUUAACCUCGGAAUUGCAUUUGAAACUGGCAGGCUAGAGUCUUGUAGAGGGGGUAGAAUUUCAGGUGUAGCGGUGAAAUGCGUAGAGAUCUGAAGGAAUACCAGUGGCGAAGGCGGCCCCCUGGACAAAGACUGACGCUCAGAUGCGAAAGCGUGGGGAGCGAAACAGGAUUAGAUACCCUGGUAGACU